UAGACAGAUGCUCGCUGGCUUGGGCGCUUAGCUGUUAACUAAGAUUUUGCGGGAUCGAGGCCCGCCUGUCUAG
This 73-nucleotide transfer RNA is filed under the name Sphyraena pinguis (red barracuda). Its description in RNAcentral is "tRNA-Asn". The record is from RNAcentral. Lineage: Eukaryota; Metazoa; Chordata; Actinopteri; Sphyraenidae.